CUCAGUCUGACAUGACUGCUACGUAGUACCCAGACGGCUUCUUUCUCGAUCUUCAGGGGUACGUGUCUUCCAUCCAGGUCCCAAUAUCAUCACCAGAUGAGAAUAUGUAUGGAUUCAUGAACAAGAAAAUUGCUUAACCAUUUGAUCAAGAGAGAUUGGAAAAUCAAGAUGAAGCAGGUCUGGGUGAAAGAGCUGUGAAUGGAUUAAUGGAACAGAAAGGAGGGGCAGCCUGCAUCCAACAACUUGUCAGCACAGGACUAUAAAGGCCUUACCCUUUGCCUCUGUGAAGCAUCCCACAGAGAGGUGCAUCCACCUCUGAAGGUACAUCCCAGCUUCAGGCUCCCAGUCACUUUGGGCUUACCCAGCCUCUUCGUCUGCCCUGCUUUUCUCCCUCCCCUUCCUUCCUGCAGGUUUGGAUCCUGAGAGCACUCCCUAAUAAACCUCAUGCCCACAAAUCUCUAUCUUGGAAUCUGCUUCUUCGGAACCAAAUCUGGGACAGAUCAAUUUACAAAGAUAGAAGGGUUUAGGAAGGCAAAAGGGUUUCUGUUACCAUGUCUAGGCCUGAAGGGACAAAGAGAGGAACUUGGAGCAAGAGCCAUAUGGAAAAAACAAUCUGAAAGAUUGUAGGGAUUCUGGCAGAAGCACAAGGCCAAGCCCUGGCAAUCCCCACCUCACAUCCCUCCGCUCUUUCAUCUCCCCUUAGUGCCUCCCAUUGUAGAACCAAACUGGAAGUGGUGGUCAGUGGAUUCCUUUGUCUGUUUCUUAUAGGUCAGCCUCCUGGGGCAGAGAGCAUGUUAGAGUGUGGAUUUGGAGGUGCAAAUGAAAGUUACCCUGUAGCCCACUUGACUCUGUAGAUUUCUUUUUCUCUUACAGAAAAUAAAUUAAAUUAUGUAUCUUCUUUAGAGAUAGGGUAUGACUUCUAUUUUGAGUUAUCUGUGUCAUUUAAUUAAUAUACAAAUAAAAUGACAUGACAGAAAAUACUUACUUGAAUACAAAGGACAAGUAAUUAGAUCUUAGAUAAUAAAUCCAUCCCUUUAGAUAAGACUUUAGGCAAAUGGAUUUAUAAGUAAAAGCAAUAGGAAAACUUGCUACCUAAGCAUGAAAAAUGAUGUUCCUGAUAAAUUCCUGGAAGGAAGCUGGUGUCAGCCCCCAACUCCUUUCUAGGCCUCUACCAGCCUAUAUUCCAAAUGGCCCUGCCAUGGCUCUUCUUUUCUUAAGAUUUGAUCUUUCUCCAGGCAUGGAUGAACCACAUGUAAGACAUUUAAACAGCCCAGGUGCCAAAUUUAGUAGGGCUUAGGAUUACACAACAUUCCCAAACCUGGGAUCUGAAGGGCCAGGUGCUGACCAACAGGAUCCCAAAUUCAUCCCAGGGGCUCUUUGACCGAUAACCAGAAUGUGAAUUCAACUGCUGGAUGACCCCAUGCAAAGCUCUCCCUGGCGCUGAGUAAUCCAGUUCCCUUUUCAUUAAAAGCCAUCUACUUUCCCAGGAGGGGGAAUCCUUCUGCACAGCCCAUUCCUAUGACUAAGCUCUGUGUUCACAAGGAAGAUCUCCUCUCAGUCCUGCUAUGCCCCCACUGCUGAGCUUGGAACCCCAAUACUAAGUAUAGCCUGUGUCACAAUUGUUCUUGCUGAGAUCUUCUACUAUUGCCUGAACACAACUCAUUCCUGAUCCCCUCUAGUGAGUAUGUCCCUGGCCAUUUUUCAGCACUUUUAUCCUCUUUUCUUGCUCUGAGUUUUCAUGGACAGGGUAUCUAGGAAAAGGAAAAGGAAGAAGGAAUAAAUCAAAUGCCUACAGACCUUCAAAGAGUGCUCCAAAGCCAGUGUAAAGCACUGGGGAACAGUGAGGAUUAGGGCAAAAUAUUUCUUAUAAUGUUCUGAGUUUCAUGAGUUGAAGGCUUUAGUGCUUAAUGUCCAAAUGAUGCAAAUGAAAACACCCUUUCAUUCUUCUUUUCCUUUUUAAAAAACAAGGAAGAAGACAGUCAAAGCCUCAGUCUAUACUAUAUUUACACUUGACUCAAAUGCAUUAAUAACAUUGUAGACUAAGGAGGUAUCUGGGGGAAAAAUAGUUUUGUGAUUUAACUGUAGUGCAAAUUUUACCUAGUAAAAGGUUUUUGAUAUUUAUCCUCAGAGAAGAUCUA
Molecule: long non-coding RNA, 2138 nt
Filed under: Homo sapiens (human)
Lineage: Eukaryota; Metazoa; Chordata; Mammalia; Primates; Hominidae
Description: HSALNT0114484
Source: RNAcentral